RNAcentral lists this ribosomal RNA (275 nucleotides) under uncultured bacterium. Its description in RNAcentral is "partial 16S ribosomal RNA". It matches the Rfam family "Bacterial small subunit ribosomal RNA", at positions 399 to 691 of the family's 1533-position model. The record is from RNAcentral.
GCGUGAGUGAAGAAGGCCUUAGGGUUGUAAAGCUCUUUCAGCAGGGAAGAUAAUGACGGUACCUGCAGAAGAAGCCCCGGCUAACUCCGUGCCAGCAGCCGCGGUAAUACGGAGGGGGCAAGCGUUGUUCGGAAUUACUGGGCGUAAAGCGCACGUAGGCGGAUAAGCAAGUUGGGGGUGAAAGCCCGGGGCUCAACCCCGGAACUGCCUUCAAAACUGCUUGUCUAGAGACCGGAAGAGGUAAGGGGAAUUCCUAGUGUAGAGGUGAAAUUCGU